RNAcentral lists this transfer-messenger RNA (269 nucleotides) under Alphaproteobacteria bacterium. Its description in RNAcentral is "partial transfer-messenger RNA". It matches the Rfam family "Alphaproteobacteria transfer-messenger RNA", at positions 1 to 291 of the family's 355-position model. Rfam says of the family: Bacterial tmRNA, also known as 10Sa RNA or SsrA, is named for its dual tRNA and mRNA-like properties. Its role is to liberate the mRNA from a stalled ribosome. The record is from RNAcentral. Lineage: Bacteria; Pseudomonadati; Pseudomonadota; Alphaproteobacteria.
UUAUUGCAGUAUACCAAUAAAGUGAACUAUAUUAAAAGUGUUGUUUUACAACUAUAGCGAUAAACGUUUUGUGAAAUAGGCAUUGCGGACCCGGGGGCGGUACCCGGCGCCUCCACCAAACUUUAUGGGGGCGAAAUAGGAUCGACGUGUGUAAUAAAGACUUAACUUUCUCUCGGCAUUGUACCACCGUUAUCGGGCUAAAUUAAUAGUUGCAAAUGACAACUAUGCUCCGGUCGCAGUUGCUGCCUAAGCAGUUACUUGACCAUUUU